GGGGAUGUAGCUCAGUUGGGAGAGCACAGGCUUUGCAAGCCUGGGGUCAGGGGUUCGAAUCCCCUCAUCUCCA
RNAcentral lists this transfer RNA (73 nucleotides) under Thermoprotei archaeon. Its description in RNAcentral is "tRNA-Ala". It matches the Rfam family "tRNA". From Rfam's summary of the family: Transfer RNA (tRNA) molecules are approximately 80 nucleotides in length. Their secondary structure includes four short double-helical elements and three loops (D, anti-codon, and T loops). Lineage: Archaea; Thermoproteati; Thermoproteota; Thermoprotei. The record is from RNAcentral. RNAcentral also lists the same sequence under 1 other name.